AAAGUGGUUUUAAGAGUUGAGGAAAGGAUUAGUUAACUGCUUCAUAAUACUUCCUAAGAUAGAGCCUGAUUCAAACAAUAUAUCAGAAAUGUCCAUUAUUAGAUAAAGGUCAACAUUUCUUCUUAAAAUUCUGAUUUAGAUGGGGUGGCUAGUGAGAAAUAAUGGGGCCAUGGUGCCUUUGACUUAGGGUGUCCAAACAUUAUUUUAUUCACUUAUCUUUUAUUUCAAUGUACUCAGUGACUUGUUAGAAGCUAGUUGAAAUUCAGGGUAUAAGAAUCCAGUGGCUUCCUUUUCUAUUUCCACAGAGAAGCAGAUGCCCUUGGCCAGCACCAUCCACAAUGGGCCCCAACACUCUUUCAAUGGAACAGGGGAAGGAGCUGUUAAAGCAAUGUGGGAUCCCUCAAAGAUAUGAAAUCUAAUAUUCAAUUAAAGAGCAAGCCCAAUCAGAAGCCCAAGGCUAUGAAUCAGACAGCAUGUCAUUCUGUAUGUCAUCAGCCUCUAAGGCCCCCUAAUGACAAUAACCUACAAGGAAGACUGCUGUGCCAGAGGACUUCCCCACCAGAUGGACAGUACAGCAAGGUGAAAUGCAAGAACUAUGGAGCCUUUGGGCACUUGGAAAAAAGCAAGAGGUGCCCCAUGAAGUCAUGGGGUGGGCCCUUCCCUUACUGGCCUUGGGUCGCAAUCAGGAGAAAGAGAACCUGAAACCUAAGAAUCCUCACCAACUUCAGUCUGCAGAACCCUUGAGGAAGACUGACAGACAAGAGGAAGGAACUCAAAGGUAAGGAUUCUGCAGGCAGAAUCCUUUUUUUUGUGUGUGUAUUAAACCAUUUUAUUGGAAACUGGUUAAAAAGUAAGGCACUCCAAAUCGUACAGUUUUCUUGAGGUUACAAUUCUGUGGCUGCUCUUAGUCCUCUUUCAGAGAAGCGUCGUGGAGCAGGGCCCGCCUCACAUGCCUGCGUGCUGUGCAGAGGAUUAAAUACUGCACGUGACAAUGGCGGCUCUACUUUGAGCUCAGCAUCCUACAUUCAACAGGUGUGAUUUUACAUCCAUACUACUGCACUAACAGUUCAUGACGUCUACCACAAGUGUCUUCUAGAAUACAAGGUACAAAGUCAGAUUCUGAUGGCUGCUGUUAUAAAAUACUUAGGAGCCCUGAGCUUUGGGGCCAAGAAGAAUGUGCCACCCCCUCUUCUUUCCCUGGAGCUGUCUCUAGGCAUAGAGAGAAAACUGCAGAGAAACAGACAAGUGCUCCAGACCUUCCAGGGGUGCACACCGAGCUCGUCCUAUUCUAAGAACCACUGAAGGGAAGGGCUGUGGAAUACCUUGGAAUGCUGCUCCUGGCAGCCAGAACAGCCACAGACUAAAUGAAAGUGCACAACACUGAAGUCACACUAGGGAACGCAGCACAUCCUGGGGGUGGAGGGGCUUCCUAGACAAGAAAUGAACCACUGCACCAAGUUCACAGGGGCAUCAGUGCCUGCCUCACUCCUGAACAAGGGCUAGCAUGGGGCCCUGGGAGUGCUCUUGGUUUGGUUUGCUGUCCCUCGUAUAGAUAGGAAGGAAAGUUACUUCAGACAGAUAAUAGGAUUUGUUCUGCAGGCAUGAAGGGCAGCAGGGGAAAUCUGGACCUCAUGAAACACAGGGGAGGCCACAGAAGUAGCCGAAGAACUCUGUGGUGGCAACAGAACCAUUUGCCUAUCUGAGGCAUCCUACAAAACCACUGUCUGCCCAAAUAUCCAAGAGGAAGUCGCCCCUUGGCUCUGCACUGCCAGGUCCACCGCCUAUUGAGACACCUUAUAGAUCACGCUGUGCUACCCAGUCUCAAAAAAAAAAAAAAAAAAAAACCUCAGCUGAGCACUGAUGCCCCAGCCCAAGGAUCUGGGGUCAACUUUGCUGACUCCCCUCACCAUGUUCUAAAGAAAUUCACCCCAGGCCCAGCUGGCAGUGCCAAGCCAACAGCCAAAGUGCCUGAUGUUUUCUCUCGUGACAUUCCUCAACCUGCCUGGAAGACACCUACCCUGGGUCACAGGUCUAAUCCACAGGCACAAAUUAAACAUACAGAGGUGGAUUCAAAGUUGCAUCCACAGCCAGUUACAGAAAAGUGUGGCCAGAACUCCAGACUCAGCAUCCAGGCCCCAGGCAAAAGGUCUGCCCAGGACUGCAUCCAGACCAGCCAGAACUGCCCCAAGAAGCCAAGACUCCUGGUUUCCCAAUCUCUCUCCAGUAUGAGUGGACCUGCGCACUCUCAGGCAACCAAAGGGUCUGCAAAGACAACAGUCCUGAAGCAAUUUCUGACCCACAGCCUCCACCCAACUCAUGUUGCUCAAGUCCAGGCCAGAAUUGCACAAUCUUCCAACCUUGACUGUCCAGUCGUGUUCCAGACAAGACACAGAGAAUCGGCCCCAAGAAACAGGACAGUACCAGGUCCAGAACCCCUCCUGCACCCAAUCUGGUGAAGUCCACACCUGCUCAUCAGAAUUUUCACAUCUUAAAGGAGUCUGAGAGGCAGGGUUCCCAGGUCACAAGGAGUGUCCUCUAUGAGGAUCUUCUGGUCUCUCCCUCCUCUGAUGACAGUGACUGAAAGUGAUAACUCCCACCCCACCCCAACUCUGGGACAGAGAAGAUGGCCUCAGGUCUUCAGGACUUGGAAAUGACUGAAAGGCUGAGAUGGGGAAAGCACCAGGGUGGAGCUCCGCUUGGUGACUCAAUGCUGCAAUGAGUACGCAAAUGGUGGAGCCUAAAAUAACACUGGUGAUCAACACAAGACAUCACCUAUUUAAUGUUGUAAGAUGGACCUGCUUGAAUUGGGACUUAGGAAACUGUCCUGAAAAGUCUUUUUAAAAUUAGAUCUAAGCCGGCGCCAUGGCUCACUAGGCUAAUCCUCCGCCUUGCAGCACCGGCACACUGGGUUCUAGUCCCAGUCGGGGUGCCAGAUUCUGUCCCAGUUGCCCCUCUUCCAGGCCAGCUCUCUGCUGUGGCCAGGGAGUGCAGUGGAGGAUGGCACAAGUGCUUGGGCCCUGCACCCCAUGGGAGACCGGGAUAAGUACCUGGCUCUUGCCAUCGGAUCAGCGCGGUGCACCGGCCGCCAUGUGCCGGCCGUGGUGGCCAUUGGAGGGUGAACCAGUGGCAAAGGAAGACCUUUCUCUCUGUCUCUCUCUCUCACUGCCCACUCUGUCUGUCAAAAAAUAAAAAAAAAAUAGAUCUAAUUAUGUGAGAAGCUUACUGAACAUGAGGAAAUUAUAUUACUCUCUACUGUCAAUAGAAAGCUGUGAAAUCCACCUGUAUGUGUGAACAAUAGACUAGCACUUGUGUAGCUUUGCAAAGGGCCCAUAUUCGGUUGUUAAAGGUCUAUUUUUAAAAGUGCCCUCUCUGGACCCUUGAAUUUUGGAGGAAGAGUUCUAGUGGGAAAUUCUUAGCUUUGAUACACUGGGGGGAAAUUUCUUUCCUGAAGGAAUUUGUUUUUUGUUGUUGUUGUGUGUAUUUUUUUAAGGCAGAGUUACAGACAGUGAGAGAGUGAGACAGAGAGUUACAGACAGUGAGAGGGUGACAGAGAAAAAGGUCUUCCUUCUGUUUGUUCACUCCCCUAAUGGCCGCUAUGGCCAGUGCUGUGCCAAUCCGAAUCCAGGAGCUGGGUGCUUCUUCCUGGUAUCCCAUGCAUGUGCAGGGACCCAAGCACUUGGGCCAUCUUCCACUUCCCUCACAGGCCACAGCAGAGACCUGAACUGGAAGAGGAGCAACUGGGACUAGUACCCGGCGCCCCAACCGGGACUGGAACCCGAGGUGCCGGCGCCGCAGGUGGAGGAUUAGCCAAGUGAACCGUGGCGCCGGCUGGAUUUUGGUUUUAUUGGUGAUUUCAUUCAAAUUCUUCCACAGUGCAUGCUCUAUGAAUGGUUCCCAAGUGUUAGAAAAGGAAACUACACACUUUCUGAAGUUGAUUGAACACUGACUUCCACUUUGAGUAAAGUAUCGCAGCUCAUCUGUAAAGGAGACAUCAACAAAAUACCCAGGAUCAGAGUUACUGAGGAGAUUAAAUAAAUUAGGUAAAGUAUGUUAAUAUAAGUGACACAUGAUAAAUAAUACAUGCAUUACUAUUAUUUGAUCACAAGUAAGCAACAGAGUAGCCUCAAUGUAAGGAAAAAUACAUUUUGUUAUUGAAAGUCAUCGUAAAACUAUGGUUUAUUAUCAAUAAAUGUAUUGCCAAGGUUCACAGGUGUUUUGAUUUUUAUAUCACUUCUGCCCAAUAUCCUUUUUUAAAAAAGAUACACACACACACACACACACACACACAGAGCAUCCUAUAUUUCAUGCACACAGCUGAAUCCCACGCAGUGCUUUCAUUUUUGCCAAAAUCUUGUAUUUACUGCCAACCUAGGCUGCUAAGGCAAACGUGACUUCACGCCCCUCUAGGAACGAAAGCUUGUUAUUAAAAUGAAGGCAGGUCGCUCACAUCACCGACCUGUGCGUUUGAACGGAACACGACUCCUAUCCAUGUUUCCUCAUGUUCAGGGGAUUCCUCGGUCCAACAGGCGCACCUGAGAAUGGCACUCCCUUUCAACAACCCGCGCUACCUGCACACCCACAAGAGGCUUUUAAAAACCUGAAGCAGUCGUCCCGGCCUCUGCCCUGGUCAGUGUGCGAGAAUCACCUGCGGCUCGGGGCCGUGCGGGUCUGGACAGCCAUUACCUUGCAAGUAACAGACUCUGAGGAUGCCGCCAUUGGCGACACAGUCUUAUGGCACCCAGCUCCUCAGGGCUGAAAUGCCCGCAAGGGGUGCUGGGAGAUGUUGGAAGGUAACGUGAGCCCGCGGAGGCCCUGCCCUGCUCAUAGGCAUGCGCACUCACGGUGAGCAAGCCCGAAGGUAGCGGGAAGUCAUGAGGACGGCGGGGCCCUGACCGGGCUGGGAACCUUCUGGAGGGUCUCCUGCCACCCGUGCGCGUGCUCCUGGCAUCGCCGUGGCCAUCUCUCCUGUCCCCUAGUGCUCUGGGAAAUGGCCCAGAUGGUUUUGGGAAGCACAGAGCUUCUGUCCAAGCACUGCGCCCUGGGUACUGGGCUGCUCACUGUGCUGCACCUGAAGCCAAGCCUCCCGCUGUUAGGCCAAGCGCAUGGCUCCUGGGAUGGCAGCUGCUCCACAUGGGUCCACCUUCCCAGAAACACCACAGCCUUCCUGCUUAGUCCAUCUGAGGUCCACGGGAGAGCACCCUGGCCCCGAACCUGAGACCUGGGAUACCCUGAAGGAUGGGGCCCAUGCACCGUUCCUAGGGUCAUUCCUGAGGGAUUCACUGUACUUAGGGAAUUUAUAGAAGAGAUUUUUAUAAAAUAACUCAUCAAUGGCUUUUGUUGAAAAUGUGUUGCCUCCAUGAUUCAAAUGUGACACUCUGAGCCACUUAAAGUCAAGAUAGCAGGAAGAAUAGGAACAAUUUUACAACAGAGAAACACAUCUUAAGUUGCUGAGUGGAACGAGUGCCCUCAUCAACCCUGCAAAAUUCAGUGACUGCUUGAACAGCAUGCGAGGUUGCCCUGAUGAAAAUUUAAGUCUUUAAGAGAGGUCUCAAACUUGUUUAUUUUUUUAAGCUACGUCUGUACUUGUUCUUUCUUCCCCUGGUCACUCGGAUCUUGUUGGGUUGCAAUGAUUUAGUCUUCUGGACCAUGACCCCGACCUGUUUCCAGAGCCUUGAAGAAAGAAUAAAAAAUUUGUUCAGCGUAAAUGCAGGGUUCACGUUACAGAGGACUGAAGCUGCUAUCACUAGUUUAUUCUCCAGGUGACCUCAAAGUGCAGGCCUAGGUUAGGGUGAAGCAUGGAGCUGGGGCCUGGAACUUGCAAUGGGGUGAAGGUGCUCAUAUGGGUUGUUGUCCCUGCACAGACUUAGCCCACUGCACCACAGAGUCUCUACUUAUUUUCUUAAAGAAUUUUUAUUUACUUACUUAUUUGAAAGGCUGAAUUUUCUGUUGGGAGAGGAGAGAAAAUUUGCCAUCUGCUGGUUCACUCCCCAAGUGCUACAAUGGCUGGUGUUGGUCCAGGCCAAAGUCAGGAACCUGCAAUUCAUUGUGGUCUCUCAGCUAGUCAGCAGUGACCCAAGCAGGUGGGUCAUCUCCUGCUUUCCCAGUUGCAUUAGCCAAGAGCUGGAUUCCAACACAGCAUGGUGGCAAGUGCAGAUGAAAGGCUAAUUCACAGCAUCAUAACACUGGCCCUGAAAUUUACUUUUUUUUGUGGAUGUUAUCUGGAUGGUUCUGAAAAGUGAAGUUAAUGGCUCAUGGAGUGUAAUAGCUGUAUCUUACUAUGCCAACCAAUGACCUCAUUGAACAUGUUAAAACCGUAAGUUCUCAAUAAAAUCAAACUUCUUUUUUAAUGCAUACCACUAGAUAUUUUACAGAAAAAUGCAGCUAAAAUGCUGACUAAAAUAAAAAAUAAUACAUUCCAUGUAAUUUAAAAUUGAUUUGCUCUUAGAUAUAUGAGAGUACCUUCAAAUGGUUC
Oryctolagus cuniculus (rabbit) is the source of this 6472-nucleotide non-coding RNA. Lineage: Eukaryota; Metazoa; Chordata; Mammalia; Lagomorpha; Leporidae. The record is from RefSeq and is a predicted model, not a curated record.